Molecule: ribosomal RNA, 497 nt
Filed under: uncultured bacterium
Lineage: Bacteria
Description: partial 16S ribosomal RNA
Rfam family: Bacterial small subunit ribosomal RNA
Source: RNAcentral
GAUGAACGCUGGCGGCGUGCCUAAUACAUGCAAGUCGAGCGAACAGACGAGGAGCUUGCUCCUCUGACGUUAGCGGCGGACGGGUGAGUAACACGUGGAUAACCUACCUAUAAGACUGGGAUAACUUCGGGAAACCGGAGCUAAUACCGGAUAAUAUAUUGAACCGCAUGGAUCAAUAGUGAAAGACGGUUUUGCUGUCACUUAUAGAUGGAUCCGCGCCGCAUUAGCUAGUUGGUAAGGUAACGGCUUACCAAGGCAACGAUGCGUAGCCGACCUGAGAGGGUGAUCGGCCACACUGGAACUUGGACACGGUCCAGACUCCUACGGGAGGCAGCAGUAGGGAAUCUUCCGCAAUGGGCGAAAGCCUGACGGAGCAACGCCGCGUGAGUGAUGAAGGUCUUCGGAUCGUAAAACUCUGUUAUUAGGGAAGAACAAAUGUGUAAGUAACUAUGCACGUCUUGACGGUACCUAAUCAGAAAGCCACGGCUAACUACGUG